RNAcentral lists this transfer RNA (67 nucleotides) under Gymnogeophagus balzanii. RNAcentral describes it as "tRNA-Ser". Lineage: Eukaryota; Metazoa; Chordata; Actinopteri; Cichliformes; Cichlidae. The record is from RNAcentral.
GAGAGAGGCGUGCUGCAACAAAGACUGCUAAUCAUUGUCCCCUCGGUUAAACCCCGGGGCUCACUCA